Schistosoma margrebowiei is the source of this 45-nucleotide non-coding RNA. The record is from Rfam. NCBI's taxonomy places the organism in Eukaryota, Metazoa, Platyhelminthes, Trematoda, Strigeidida, Schistosomatidae.
AUCGAGCUGACGAGUCCGAAAUAGGACGAAACGAGCGUCCUAUAU